Molecule: long non-coding RNA, 1901 nt
Filed under: Betta splendens (Siamese fighting fish)
Lineage: Eukaryota; Metazoa; Chordata; Actinopteri; Anabantiformes; Osphronemidae
Description: lncRNA (ENSBSLG00000015557.1)
Source: RNAcentral
AUUUGAGCUAAAAAAAUAUUUUUUCAAUAAACCACAAUAAGCUUAAGUCAGAAUAUCAGAUUAUAGAAAUCCAUAAGACAUAAUUAUGAAUGUAAUGGCUGAUAGAUAGUUGUUAACCAGUGCAUGUGAAACAUCACAUUACACCAAACCUUGGAAACAGGACAAACAAACGUCAUGAAACCAGAUGCACCUGGCGGCUGAUGACGUCACUAAUCAUACACUGAGGUCAGGUGUGCGAUGUGUCUGACAGUAAUGUUUGACUAUAAGAUGAGCAGUUGUGGUCAGAAUGCCAGUGAAUAUAAUAGACUGAGGGGUGUGUUCCUGUCGUUCAUAUUUUCAUGGAACGUUGUGAUUUCGGUCUGUGGUGAUGGGCUUCACUCUAUGAAUCUGAGACACAAGCAGGAGGGGGUUGAUAUUAGUGAAAUACACCAAAUCAAGCAGAUCAAACAUGUGCAGAGUGGACCAGCAGCACAAAACAUGAGAACGGAAAACCCAGGGCUCCUAAUGUGAUGCAGCAGACGCCACUCUGAGCGUGACUGUACCUCUGCGGUGACGCGAGGAGACGGCAGAUGAGACAUUAAAGGCCCGAACCCGGGACGCGCUGAUGGAGGGCGAGCGGCGGCGCCGGAUGAGGGCAGUGCGCCGCGUCCCGUUUGAUGCUGACAUAAUGUCCCUCAGCCAGAGGCAACGGGAAGGUGGAGCGGUGUCCUUCUGUUGGAGGAAGAUAAGUCAGGCAGCUAAUACAGAGGCAAAGACAACUGCUCCUUCCCCUACGUCUGAACAGAUGUGCUUCAUUUGGAGCCGGGCCAAAGGCGGCGCACAGCGGCCUCUCUGCGCCGGAUGCGACUGCAAACACGCGUCCGAUAAGGCCCAGGAAAACAACGGUCCGGCGCUCGGCUGAACCGAGGCGGAACAAGUGCUUGUAAAUGAUUGAGGCACGGACACACACACACGAGGGGCGCGCCGCUGGGAACGCCGCCGCUCCGGUUCAGCGGAUAGAAAUAGAUGUGCAACGCUGACCUGCACCAGUUCACGGCCGGCGCACAGGCGGCCUCCACCACCGAGGCACUGGAUGCAGAUGCACAACGGCCAACAGAUACACACAAUAACAUCUGUGGUCAAUUUGGGGAUUUGGUAGUUUCUGAUUUUGGGCCACGGGGUCAAAAAAACAACUUCAUGUCUUUUCUGAAUUUCAAUUGAAUGACUAUAUGAUAUUCGGCUUGUAAGUAUUUUUAAGGAGGCACUGCUACAUUCAACGCAGUUGCAUGCAAAUGGUGAUUACUGCAGUAUGUGUGGGUGUUAUAUUGUGUUUUCAAACGGAGACGGGUCAAAGGUUCUGUCUCGUCCGCUGAGUUUUGUAGGUGAUGAUUGAUGAUGCACGUGAUUCAGAUCAGAGCAGUGAAGAGCUGUUGCCAGAAAGCUGAACCUGUUACUUGUAUUUCUUUUAGAAAAAAAUCUGAUGCUGUUUUAUAUAUUUUUUUUUUAAACUACAGUCCAAAAAUACCAAAACAAGGUCUCUUGUCUUCUGUGCUGUCACUGCACUCUGUGAAGUCUGGCACUCAGCUGCUAGCUUGUUUGCGCUCGCUGAAGACAUAAAUGUUUGAAAUGAAUCAAAAAAUAUUUUAAUUUAUUUAAAAAUUAAUCAAUAAUUAACCAAACAGAUGGGCACUGUAGUUUUUAGCAUAUGUUAUCUAACUAGGAAUAACCAGAGCUUUGUUGGGGGCUGUUUGCAUUCGCGUGUUAAUUCACAUUCGGUGCUUGACUUGAGUGUUGACGGCACCAGGACGCGUCGACGGCCUCAAACAAGCUGAAGAAACCGUGUUCGUCGACGUGAAGACACAUGUUCAACAGCGGCUGCUCGGCUGCACGCGCUUAAGGAGUUUAUUGACAAUAACAAAGCU